AUUGAACGAGGGAGGGAGGAAGAACACAGGCAAGUCGAGCGGAUGAAGGGAGCUUGCUCCUGGAUUCAGCGGCGGACGGGUGAGUAAUGCCUAGGAAUCUGCCUGGUAGUGGGGGAUAACGUCCGGAAACGGGCGCUAAUACCGCAUACGUCCUGAGGGAGAAAGUGGGGGAUCUUCGGACCUCACGCUAUCAGAUGCGCCUAGGUCGGCUUAGCUAGUUGGUGGGGUAAAGGCCUACCAAGGCGACGAUCCGUAACUGGUCUGAGAGGAUGAUCAGUCACACUGGAACUGAGACACGGUCCAGACUCCUACGGGAGGCAGCAGUGGGGAAUAUUGGACAAUGGGCGAAAGCCUGAUCCAGCCAUGCCGCGUGUGUGAAGAAGGUCUUCGGAUUGUAAAGCACUUUAAGUUGGGAGGAAGGGCAGUAAGUUAAUACCUUGCUGUUUUGACGUUACCAACAGAAUAAGCACCGGCUAACUUCGUG
This 484-nucleotide ribosomal RNA is filed under the name uncultured bacterium. RNAcentral's name for it is "partial 16S ribosomal RNA". It matches the Rfam family "Bacterial small subunit ribosomal RNA", at positions 30 to 507 of the family's 1533-position model. The record is from RNAcentral.